CUCUCUGGCCAUAGUCCCGAUCAUAAAAAAGACUGGUCUUCAUAUAAUCUUUCUUCUCUCACAAGGUUUCCUGGGCAUUUCAUUACACACCAAGAGACAUGACAGAAGUGUCCCUGUAAAUGCAAGACAUAAUGGAACAAUUACCAUGGGAGAAAGUUCUGUGUCACAAGCUGGAUGGUACAAGCUAUGAAGAAGAACAAAGGAAUCACAGAGCCAGCAACGCGUUACCUUCUACUAUUAGUAAGCAGUUUGAUGCAACAGCACUUUAGAAUGAGCUGAAGCUGGUCCUUUGGUACGUAGCGCUGCAGCAGCAGCACCUCAUGACAUAGCAUUUUUGCCUUUACUACUACUACUUAAAUACUGGAACUGUUGGCAUGGAUAUGCUGACUCAGCACCAUAAAAAAAAAAACAACAAAACAACAAAUAGCAUUGAAGCUGAAUUCUGUCAUAGAAUGAAUUCACACACAUGACACUUCGGCUGUAGGGUGCCAUGUGAAUGAUUUAUCCUAACAUACAGGAGAAGCCACUGCCAAAAGAAAAACAAAAAAACAAAAAAAAAACCCCAAAAAACUGGGAGAAGACUGAUAAUAUGACAAUAUAAUGCCAGAAAGGAAUCAAACAGUGUGAUUAGUAAAGUGAGAUGGCAUGACUUCAGAAGACAAAGGGCAACAGUUUCUCACUGUUGGUAAGCACAGAGUAUGAUGCUGAUCUUGGCUUGCUGCAGAGGCACCAGUGAAGCAGCUCCUUAGACAGCAAUAUUUCAUGACUGACAUUAACAAGGACUGCUGGAGAACAGAAGAGCAUUAUUUUCAUUUUGCAUCUAUCCGGUCCUUGGGAGGAAACUGUCCAUUAAUGCGAGCAUUGUGACUUUAACAUGGCCCGAUGCCAAGCUGGAAAUAUGAUGCAGGAGUCUGGACCUUUUGAAGCCUAUUAUGAAGUGUCUCAUUUUUUAUCAUGUCCAUGAGUGAAAAGUUAGAACAGUAAUGCACUAUAUGGUAAUGCUAUUAUUUGGCAGCAGGCUUGGGUAAAGUGAAAGUCUGUUCUAUACUUUAAGAUGUUCUUACUUUAAGAUGUAAGGAGGAAAGUAGAUAAGACUGACUAAAAAGGUCAACAUUUCUUUGCUAGGCUUUGUAGAAAAUACACUGUGUCUAGUUACAACCAUAGCAGCUUCCAUUUGGUUAUUACUUUCAUUUGACUCAUUUAUAUCAAGAUAGGUACAAGAUGUUUCUUCCCCACAGGAUCACAGAAUUUCAGGGGCUGGGGGGACCU
RNAcentral lists this long non-coding RNA (1269 nucleotides) under Coturnix japonica (Japanese quail). RNAcentral describes it as "lncRNA (ENSCJPG00005019264.1)". Lineage: Eukaryota; Metazoa; Chordata; Aves; Galliformes; Phasianidae. The record is from RNAcentral.